CGGAAGGUUCGGGCGUUAUCCGGAUUUAUUGGGUUUAAAGGGAGCGUAGGCCGUUUGGUAAGCGUGUUGUGAAAUGUAGUAGCUCAACUUCUAGAUUGCAGCGCGAACUGUCAGACUUGAGUGCGCACAACGUAGGCGGAAUUCAUGGUGUAGCGGUGAAAUGCUUAGAUAUCAUGAAGAACUCCGAUUGCGAAGGCAGCUUACGGGAGCGCAACUGACGCUGAAGCUCGAAGGUGCGGGUAUCGAACAGGAUU
RNAcentral lists this ribosomal RNA (254 nucleotides) under uncultured bacterium. RNAcentral's name for it is "partial 16S ribosomal RNA". It matches the Rfam family "Bacterial small subunit ribosomal RNA", at positions 526 to 779 of the family's 1533-position model. The record is from RNAcentral.